UACGAAGGAUGCAAGCGUUAUCCGGAUUUAUUGGGUUUAAAGGGUGCGUAGGCGGACUUAUAAGUCAGUGGUGAAAUCUCGUUGCUUAACAACGAACGUGCCAUUGAUACUGUAGGUCUUGAGUACAGAUGCCGUUGGCGGAAUGUGUCAUGUAGCGGUGAAAUGCAUAGAUAUGACACAGAACACCGACUGCGAAGGCAGCUGACGAAACUGUAACUGACGCUGAGGCACGAAAGCGUGGGGAUCAAACAGG
RNAcentral lists this ribosomal RNA (253 nucleotides) under uncultured bacterium. RNAcentral's name for it is "partial 16S ribosomal RNA". It matches the Rfam family "Bacterial small subunit ribosomal RNA", at positions 524 to 776 of the family's 1533-position model. The record is from RNAcentral.